UACGGAGGGGGCUAGCGUUGUUCGGAAUUACUGGGCGUAAAGCGCACGUAGGCGGCUUUGUAAGUUAGAGGUGAAAGCCCAGGGCUUAACCCUGGAAUUGCCUUUAAGACUGCAUCGCUAGAAUCGUGGAGAGGUGAGUGGAAUUCCGAGUGUAGAGGUGAAAUUCGUAGAUAUUAGGAAGAACACCAGUGGCGAAGGCGGCUACUGGCCGGUGACUGACGUCUGAGUGCGAAAGCGGUGGGGAGCAAAAGCA
Molecule: ribosomal RNA, 253 nt
Filed under: uncultured bacterium
Lineage: Bacteria
Description: partial 16S ribosomal RNA
Rfam family: Bacterial small subunit ribosomal RNA
Source: RNAcentral